GACGAACGCUGGCGGCGUGCCUAAUACAUGCAAGUGGGACGCAAGGAAACACACUGUGCUUGCACACCGUGUUUUCUUGAGUCGCGAACGGGUGAGUAACGCGUAGGUAACCUGCCUAUUAGCGGGGGAUAACUAUUGGAAACGAUAGCUAAUACCGCAUAAUAUUAAUUAUUGCAUGAUAAUUGAUUGAAAGAUGCAAGCGCAUCACUAGUAGAUGGACCUGCGUUGUAUUAGCUAGUUGGUAAGGUAAGAGCUUACCAAGGCGACGAUACAUAGCCGACCUGGAAGGGUGAUCGGCCACACUGGGACUGAGACACGGCCCAGACUCCUACGGGAGGCAGCAGGAGGGAAUCUUCGGCAAUGGACGAAAGUCUGACCGAGCAACGCCGCGUGAGUGAAGAAGGUUGUCGGAUCGUAAAGCUCUGUUGUAAGUCAAGAACGUGUGUGAGAGUGGAAAGUUCACACAGUGACGGUAGCUUACCAGAAAGGGACGGCUAACUACGUG
Molecule: ribosomal RNA, 505 nt
Filed under: uncultured bacterium
Lineage: Bacteria
Description: partial 16S ribosomal RNA
Rfam family: Bacterial small subunit ribosomal RNA
Source: RNAcentral